Molecule: long non-coding RNA, 654 nt
Organism: Carassius carassius (crucian carp)
Lineage: Eukaryota; Metazoa; Chordata; Actinopteri; Cypriniformes; Cyprinidae
Exons: 3
Source: RefSeq, a predicted model, not a curated record
ACCACUCACUGAUCUAUAUAAAUGACAUUUAAAAUUCUCAGCUCUCAGGUUCUGUCCAUUUUAUUACAAAAUUCAGACAAUACCGUUUUGGCGUUAGAAAAUGUGACGUGACAGAUCGCUUUAGCGCCUCAGUUCAAGUAAACCGAUCAUCUGUUACUUUCUGUUUAAAGAUACAGUACAACUUACCGAAAUGUAUAUAUGCCUCAUAUAUAAUAUCGACAGUUCAUCAAUCAAAACAGCAGGAGAACAAUUAUGUCACAGAAGGUUACAUUUACCUCAAGAAAGCCAUUUAAAAACCAUAGCAGGUUAGUUGAGAAAAAUAGCCAUAAGAAAGGAGCAUUUUGCUAAAUAUGUGCACUAUAGUACAUAUUUAUUAUACUUUCACCUUAGCUAUUUUACAUUUGAUUAUGCAAUAUCUGUACCUGAAAACGGUGCUAUUUAUGGUAAUGUUUUCUUAUUUUAUUACUGACUGUUCACUUGUCUUCAUUAAUGUUUGAACUUAAUAGUUAGUGUUUAUUGUGGUAUUGAAAUUGGAAUUGUGAAAUUAUAGUGCAGCUUAUUUACAAAGAAAACAAUAGCAAUAUUAUUUUUAUUUAUGUAUUUAUUUUUGGCAGGGCAAGUACAGUUUUGAACCCUAGCAUUGAGCUCUGCAUU